RNAcentral lists this ribosomal RNA (406 nucleotides) under uncultured bacterium. RNAcentral describes it as "partial 16S ribosomal RNA". It matches the Rfam family "Bacterial small subunit ribosomal RNA", at positions 30 to 526 of the family's 1533-position model. The record is from RNAcentral.
AUUGAACGCUGGCGGCAGGCCUAACACAUGCAAGUCGAACGAGUGGCGGACGGGUGAGUAAUGUCUGGGAAACUGCACGAUGGAGGGGGAUAACUACUGGAAACGGUAGCUAAUACCGCAUACCAUCAGAUGUGCCCCGAUGGUAUUAGCUAGUAGGUGGGUUAACGGCUCACCUAGGCGACGAUCCCUAGCUGGUCUGCGAGGAUGACCGGCCACACUGGAACGUAGACACGUUCCAGACUCCGACGUGAGGCAGCAGUGGGGAAUAUUGCACAAUUGGCGCAAGCCUGAUGCAGCCAGGCCGCGUGUAUGAAGAAGGCCUUCGGGUUGUAAAGUACUUUCAGCGAGGAGGCGUUACUCGCAGAAGAAGCACCGGCUAACUCCGUGCCAGCAGCCGCGGUAAUUC